This 254-nucleotide unclassified non-coding RNA is filed under the name Hevea brasiliensis (rubber tree). Lineage: Eukaryota; Viridiplantae; Streptophyta; Magnoliopsida; Malpighiales; Euphorbiaceae. The record is from RNAcentral.
CCAUCUGGUCAUUCCUACAAGAGACUACUGCUUUGCACCAUCCCUAAAUGAUAUUUGCCUAGCUGUGGAUUUCAUUCAUGAGAAUGUAUUGCAAGGAUGUACUACAUAUGUUCAUUGUAAGGCUGGUCGGGGGCGCAGUACAACCAUUGUUCUUUGUUACCUGGUGCAACACAAACAGAUGACACCUGAAGCUGCAUAUGAUCAUGUCAAGUCAAUCAGGCCAAGGGUGCUUCUAGCACCUGCUCAGUGGCAGG